UCCCCAAAACCUUUGAAACUCUAUGUUCCUCUCUUUUUUGAAAAUAGUUGAGGUGAUGUUGAUAGAGACAGGCUGAAAUUAUGGGUGUGGAGAGAGGAUCGACGAGGGGAGAGGGGGAAAAACCAUCAGAUUUUCUAUUAUCCGGUGGUCUGAGAUCGAUGCGCUGGUGUUGGUUUGAUGGUGUUGUUGAUAUUCUUGGUAUUAUUGUUGCUUCUAUAACGAUUACUGAUGUUGCUGUUGUUUUACGGAUAUAAGAGGUGGUGGACCGGAAUGGGUUGGAGUGCUGGGCUUGAUGGUGCGGUUUUUGGGCUGUUAUUGUGUUGUUAGAUCAGGCCAAGAUUCAAAGGAAAGGCUAGGUUUGGUUGAACUAGGUUUUGGGUGGGGGUUUAAUUGUCAUUGGCCAGGUUUUUUUGUAAUUG
This 419-nucleotide long non-coding RNA is filed under the name Capsicum annuum. RNAcentral's name for it is "long non-coding RNA (CANN_LNC000623)". Lineage: Eukaryota; Viridiplantae; Streptophyta; Magnoliopsida; Solanales; Solanaceae. The record is from RNAcentral.